GCGUUGUUGGUGUAGUGGUUAGCAUUGAAGCCUUCCACUCCCGCCGGGGAGAAACAGCUUUAGUCCGGGGUUCGAAUCCCCGACAACGCA
This 90-nucleotide transfer RNA is filed under the name Puccinia graminis f. sp. tritici. It matches the Rfam family "tRNA". From Rfam's summary of the family: Transfer RNA (tRNA) molecules are approximately 80 nucleotides in length. Their secondary structure includes four short double-helical elements and three loops (D, anti-codon, and T loops). Lineage: Eukaryota; Fungi; Basidiomycota; Pucciniomycetes; Pucciniales; Pucciniaceae. The record is from Rfam by way of RNAcentral.